CCUACGGGUGGCUGCAGUGAGGAAUAUUGGUCAAUGGACGAGAGUCUGAACCAGCCAUGUAGCGUGAAGGAUGACUGCUCUAUGGGUUGUAAACUUCUUUUAUAUGGGAAUAAACUGUUCCACGCGUGGGAGUCUGUAAGUACCAUACGAAUAAGGAUCGGCUAACUCCGUGCCAGCAGCCGCGGUAAUACGGAGGAUUCGAGCGUUAUCCGGAUUUAUUGGGUUUAAAGGGAGCGUAGGUGGAUGGUUAAGUCAGUUGUGAAAGUUUGCGGCUCAACCGUGAAAUUGCAUUUGAAACUGGCAGUCUAGAGUGUAGUAGAGGUAGGCGGAAUUCAUGGUGUAGCGGUGAAAUGCUUAGAUAUCACGCAGAACUCCGAUUGCGAAGGCAGCUCACUGGGCUGCAACUGACACUGAGGCUCGAAAGUGUGGGUAUCAAACAGGAUUAGAUACCCCAGUAGUC
RNAcentral lists this ribosomal RNA (460 nucleotides) under uncultured bacterium. RNAcentral's name for it is "partial 16S ribosomal RNA". It matches the Rfam family "Bacterial small subunit ribosomal RNA", at positions 338 to 795 of the family's 1533-position model. The record is from RNAcentral.